GACGAACGCUGGCGGCGUGCCUAAUACAUGCAAGUAGGACGCAGUUGUGAACGGGUGAGUAACGCGUAGGUAACUACCUAAUAGAGGGGGAUAACUAUUGGAAACGAUAGCUAAUACCGCAUACUAGUAGAUGGACCUGCGGUGUAUGAGCUAGUCGGUAGGGUAAUGGCAUACCUAGGCAACGAUACAUAGCCGACCGGGUGGUGAUCGGCCCAACUGGGAAGGGGCCACGGCCCAGACUCCUACCGGAGGCAGCAGUAGGGAAACAUCGGCAAUGGGGGGAACGCUGACCGAGCAACGCCGCGUGGUUGAAGAAGGUUUUCGGGUCGGAAAGCUCUGUUGUUAAGGAAGCGUUACUUAACCAGAAAGGGACGGCUAACUACGUGCCAGCAGCCGCGGUAAUAC
This 405-nucleotide ribosomal RNA is filed under the name uncultured bacterium. RNAcentral describes it as "partial 16S ribosomal RNA". It matches the Rfam family "Bacterial small subunit ribosomal RNA", at positions 28 to 526 of the family's 1533-position model. The record is from RNAcentral.